GACCUGCCAUUCAUUACAACUCAGAAAACUAAUGACAUUGACAGCCUUAAAGUUCGCCUGAAAAAUGGAUUGAGUUCCAAGUAUAAACCAGUAGACUAUCAGCAAUUAUAUGCAAUUACUGAAGCAAAAAAGCUAGCAUCUGCUUCUAUACAGUUAAAGCACUGAAUCAUUGACCAAGAAUCCCUUCAAAUUAUCCUGAAGACUCCACUUGAUGAAACUUCAAAGACAC
RNAcentral lists this long non-coding RNA (229 nucleotides) under Vombatus ursinus (common wombat). RNAcentral describes it as "lncRNA (ENSVURG00010015085.1)". The record is from RNAcentral. Lineage: Eukaryota; Metazoa; Chordata; Mammalia; Diprotodontia; Vombatidae.